GAUGAACGCUGGCGGCGUGCCUAAUACAUACAAGUCGAGCGAACAGACGAGGAGCUUGCUCCUCUGACGUUAGCGGCGGACGGGUGAGUAACACGUGGAUAACCUACCUAUAAGACUGGGAUAACUUCGGGAAACCGGAGCUAAUACCGGAUAAUAUAUUGAACCGCAUGGUUCAAUAGUGAAAGACGGUUUUGCUGUCACUUAUAGAUGGAUCCGCGCCGCAUUAGCUAAUUGGUAAGGUAACGGCUUACCAAGGCAAUGAUGCGUAGCCGACCUGAGAGGGUGAUCGGCCACACUGGAACUGAGACACGGUCCAGACUCCUACGGGAGGCAGCAGUAGGGAAUCUUCCGCAAAGGGCGAAAGCCUGACGGAGCAACGCCGCGUGAGUGAUGAAGGUCUUCGGAUCGUAAAACUCUGUUAUUAGGGAAGAACAAAUGUGUAAGUAACUAUGCACGUCUUGACGGUACCUAAUCAGAAAGCCACGGCUAACUACGUG
RNAcentral lists this ribosomal RNA (497 nucleotides) under uncultured bacterium. Its description in RNAcentral is "partial 16S ribosomal RNA". It matches the Rfam family "Bacterial small subunit ribosomal RNA", at positions 28 to 507 of the family's 1533-position model. The record is from RNAcentral.